Molecule: long non-coding RNA, 211 nt
Filed under: Elaeis guineensis (African oil palm)
Lineage: Eukaryota; Viridiplantae; Streptophyta; Magnoliopsida; Arecales; Arecaceae
Description: long non-coding RNA (EGUI_LNC006750)
Source: RNAcentral
GCUGUACGGCGAUCGGAGGAGUCGACCGACCCUAGGUCGGUGGCCAGCUGAGCGACGUCGGGCCCCUCCGUUGGUCGGCGAGUCUUACGUGAGUCGGCCAUCAGGCUUCCAGGUCCAGUCGGUCGGAAAAAGUAUGCCCGACCGACACAUCCUCAGUCGGUUGGGGGCCGUUAAUUGGCCGGUGAUGGCGUCUGCCGGUCGGUCGCUCCGG